Molecule: small nucleolar RNA, 107 nt
Organism: Dioscorea cayenensis subsp. rotundata (Guinea yam)
Lineage: Eukaryota; Viridiplantae; Streptophyta; Magnoliopsida; Dioscoreales; Dioscoreaceae
Source: RefSeq, a predicted model, not a curated record
AUUCCAUGUUGUGGGCAUUUCCUUAGAAUCUCCUUAUACCUUUCCCAUAUAUAGUAUAAUAAUUUGGAUUCUAAUUGAUGAAAAGAACAGAUAUCACUUCUGAGAUU